This 1216-nucleotide ribosomal RNA is filed under the name uncultured bacterium. Its description in RNAcentral is "bacterial SSU rRNA". It matches the Rfam family "Bacterial small subunit ribosomal RNA", at positions 102 to 1315 of the family's 1533-position model. The record is from RNAcentral.
ACGGGUGAGUAACACGUGGGAACGUACCCUCUGCAGGGGGAUAACUGACCGAAAGGACAGCUAAUACCGCAUAAGACCGAGAGGAGAAAGGUGCAACAGCAUCGGCAGAGGAGCGGCCCGCGGACCAUCAGCUAGUUGGUGGGGUAAGAGCCUACCAAGGCAACGACGGAUAGCCGGCGUGAGAGCGUGGCCGGCCACAAGGACACUGAGAUACGGGUCCUACUGGCUACGGGAGGCAGCAGUGCGGAAUUUUAGAUAAUGGAGGCAACUCUGAUCUAGCGACGCCGCGUGCAGGAAGAAGGUCUUCGGAUUGUAAACUGCUGUGGUAAGGGAAAAAUGCCAUGUAGAGUGGAAAGCUACAUGGAGGGAUGGUACUUUACUAGAAAGCCCCGGCUAACUACGUGCCAGCAGCCGCGGUAAUACGUAGGGGGCGAGCGUUACCCGGAAUCACUGGGCGUAAAGGGAGCGUAGGUGGCCUGACAUGUCGACUGUGAAAACCCGGAGCUCAACUCCGGACUUGCAGUUGAAACUGCCAGGCUUGAGGACGGUAGAGGAAGACGGAACUGCCAGUGUAGGGGUAAAAUCCUUAGAUAUUGGCAGGAACGCCGGUGACGAAGGUGGUUUUCUGGGCCGGUUCUGACACUGAUGCUCGAAAGCCAGGGGAGCGAACGGGAUUAGAUACCCCGGUAGUCCUGGCCCUAAACGAUGUUCACUAGGUGUGGGGAGCGGAAAGCUUUCCGUGCUAAAGCUAACGCGAUAAGUGAACCGCCUGGGGAGUACGCCCGCAAGGGUGAAACUCAAAGGAAUUGACGGGGGCCCGCACAAGCGGUGGAGCGUGUGGUUUAAUUCGAUGCUAAGCGAAGGACCUUACCAAGGUUUGACAUGCUGAUAGUAGUGAAUUGAAAGAGGAACGACCACACUUUGUGUGGAGUCAGCACAGGUGGUGCACGGCCGUCGUCAGCUCCUGCCGUGAGGUGUUGGGUUAAGUCCCCGCAACGAGCGCAACCCCUGCUCUUAGUUGCCAGCGGUAAGGCCGGGCACUCUAGGAGGACCGCCGCCGACGAGGCGGAGGAAGGGGGGGAUGACGUCAGGUAUCGUGCCCCUUAUAUCUUGGGCGACACACGCGCUACAAUGGGUUGGACAGAAGGGACCGAGACAGCGAUGUGGAGGAAAUCCUCAAACCAACCCCCAGUUCAGAUUGCAGGCUGCAACCCGC